RNAcentral lists this long non-coding RNA (826 nucleotides) under Homo sapiens (human). Its description in RNAcentral is "HSALNT0305619". The record is from RNAcentral. Lineage: Eukaryota; Metazoa; Chordata; Mammalia; Primates; Hominidae.
UGUGUCUGAGCUCUGACUCUCCUUGUGUGGGUCUUUCUGUGGCUGUUGUGGGGGAUAGGGGUGAGAUGCCCAGGUUAAUGGAGUUGUGUACAUAGGAGGAUUAUGCUGCCUCUGCUGAGUCAUGCAGGUUGUCAGGGAAGUGGGGGAAAGCCGGCAGUCAUAGGCCUCACCCAGCUCCCAUGCAAACCAAAGAGCAGUUCUCAUGGAGCCUGUUUCCAGGUGGUGGGCAAGAUGGGCUUGAAAACUUGCCUCAGGCUACCUGCCUCUCAACUAUGGAAAAAAAGGGCUUGGUUCUUCCCCUGCCUGUGGAGUCUGCACAACAGAUUUGUGCCCUCCCAUGAGUUCUGGCCAGGAGGCUUCUCGCCCUGUUCAAAUUGUUACAAAGUUCAACUAUAGAUUUCUUUCUUCCUGUGGAGUUUCAACACCUGCUCCUCUGGCCACCCUCACAAUGGAUCCCUGUGGUGCCAAGCAGGAAUGGCCUGUUUGGGCACCCAGUGAGCUCCCAGGGCCUUUCUACUGCUUCCUCAAACCCUGUAUUUUGCUCAGCUCUCUAAAUGGAUUCAACUCCAGAGAAGACUAUCAAGUAGUUAGGAAAGAAAGUCAGUGAGAUGUCUCAGGCGUGACUCAGCUACGGAAACAAUAGCAAUCAGAGGACAUUUGGAGAUGAAGAAAAAAAAGAAACAAACUUCAAUACAAUGAGAAAUAUACCAGUACAUAGACCUGGAACCAAACCCAGAACUUCACUUCCCUGUGCCAGAAGGAUUCCAGUGAGCUUUUCCCACAGGCCCUACAGUCUUCUCCAGGUGAACCUCGGUCACUAUCUAUA